Electrophorus electricus (electric eel) is the source of this 684-nucleotide non-coding RNA. NCBI's taxonomy places the organism in Eukaryota, Metazoa, Chordata, Actinopteri, Gymnotiformes, Gymnotidae. The record is from RefSeq and is a predicted model, not a curated record.
GACACUGCUGUGCUACAGUGACUCCAACCCCAUCAGUAAUUACUCCUGGUACAGAAAGACAGGAAGUGAUGUCUUACUGUUAGGAAAUGGCACCAAUUUAACUAUAGCUACAGGAACAAGUGGACUUUUCUACUGUGUGGUGCAGAAUCCAUUUGGAUCAUCUAACUCAUCAGAAUGGUCAUUUACUUCAGGGAAACCAGCUGGGACAUAUGCAGCUUCUGGAGUCACUGUGGGUUUGUUUCUGACUCUCACUGCUGUCUGUCUAUGGAUGAGGAGGGGAUCUGCAGCUGUCAGCAGAAGGAGUGAGGAGACCAGCACAAAUCAUGACUCUGCUCCUGUAUAUGAUAAUAUCUCAGCCCUGGCUAAGACCUGUGACUCCACAGUAUCUUCAGAUGAUCAGGAUGAAGUUCACUACUCCAGUGUUCAUUUCACACACUCCCACACACAGGAAGUGCUCUACUCCACUGUUCAACUGCCAAAGGCUCUUAUUCAAGGAGAGGAAGUAGAGUACGCCACAGUGAACAUCACCAAAACAAAAGUCUCCCCACAGUAGGCUAUGCAAAUGGCAUAGUUCAUUAUGUCUGUAUCACUGUUACACAUGGAGUGUAAGUUAUUUCUGAAGCAAAUAAUAUAAUAAAGUCAACUGAAUAAAUAAAUAUAAUUACAGCCCUUUUCCUAAGUUCU